Molecule: long non-coding RNA, 1830 nt
Organism: Bos grunniens (domestic yak)
Lineage: Eukaryota; Metazoa; Chordata; Mammalia; Artiodactyla; Bovidae
Source: Ensembl
ACAAAUUUGCGUUGGGGGCCCGUGGGGUGCAGGGGCGGGGCGGGGCGCGGGCUGGGCGCCAGCACUCACCUCGGGCGGCGGCGGCCGCGGGAGGGCCCCAGCAGCAGCAGCAGCGGCAGCACUAACGCGGGGCUCGGCGUCAUCUCGGCCAGUGCGGACCUGGGGGUUAUUCAAAGGCUGGUCACUUGCGUGCGGGUGGGGGGGCUGGUUUUCCGCCCCGCUCCCCCUCCCCUGGGCCGAGGGCCCCGGAGCCGCCAGCACCCCGGCCCUGGACGAGGGGAACUGAGGUGCGGGCCGCCCCGCCUUCCCUGGCGCGCUCCGGGCGGAGGAAGCGGCGGCAGGGUAACCGUGGGUAUCAAAGGCAGACAAAGGGUUUACACUAAUUACCGACCUCCCCCGCCCCCCCUCCAAACACCGUCUGGAUUCCUGGCGCUUGUAACUCGGGCCCUGCCCGCGGGACACACAACACCGGCGGCCCCGCAGAUAAUCGCCUGCGCCAUUAGCGGACAAAUUUGCGUUGGGGGGGCCCACGUGGGGUGCAGGGGCGGGGGCGGGGCGCGGGCAGGACCUCGGGCCGGGCGGGAGCCGCGGCGGCGCGUGCCGGUGCCUGCGGCCCCUCGCCGCGGAGCGGGGACCCGGACGCUCGGCCCCCGCCCCCGCCCGCGGCCCCGGCCCCCGGCCCUUCGGAAUCGGCCCUCCCAGUCCGCCCCGGGAAUCGGAGGCGCGCGGAGGGGCUCACCUCGGCGGGGCUCGCGGGCCGCGGGGCUCAGGGCCGGGCCCGCGGGCGCGCUGCGCGGUCAUUGCCGCCCGGGCGCCGCACCCCGCCGCCCCGCGCCCCCGGCCCGGCCUCGGGACGGGGCGGCGCUACCUGCGCGCUGGCGGCUCGGGCUGGGGCCGGGGCGGGGAUCGGGGCCGGGGCCGGGCGAGGGGCGAGGAGCGCGGCGAGGGCGGUCCGCGGGCCGGGGCCGCGAUCCCGGGGCGGCGGGGCGAGGGGCCCGGGGCGCCACGCCGCGAGGCGUCCUUCCCUGCGGGGCUUUGUCAACUCUCCCGGAGCGAGCGCCGAGCCCGCCGCGCGCCCCGCCCCGACACAACUUCCCGCCAAUCGGCGCGCCGUGGCCCCUGCGCCCCGCCCCCACGACCCGCCCGCGCCCCGCCUUGCGCCCCGCCCCGCGCUCGAACUUCCCGCCAAUCGGCUCGUCCUGGCCGCCGCGCCCCGCCCCCGCUCCCCGCCCCGAGCCCCGCCCCGCGCCCGAACUUUCUGCCAAUCGGCGAGCGCGCCCGCCCCGCCACCGCCUGGCUCGCGGCCUUAACCCUAGCAGUACGGGACGCCCGCGGGCGGGGCGGCUCCCCGGAGCGCGGCCACGCCCCAGCCCGUCCGCCUCUCCCCCUCAGGCCCCUGGCUUCACCCCCAGCUUGUUUCCACCCGCUGGCGGCCGGGGCAGCACACUGCGCCCCCACCCAGCCCCGGCCCAGCCCCGCCUCGCGCACCUCCUGGUCCCGCACCGUCCACCUCGCACCUGCACCCGUUGGCGCCUGCAUUCGAGCCCCCAACCUCAGGCCAACAGCCCCCCGCGCGCCUCUAGAGUCGUCCCUGAUCGAGCUCCAGUUGGGCAGUCCGAGUCCCGAUAUCUGAGCCCCCCGGUGGUCGUCGGGAACGGAGGGGAGAUCCAAGACCCCGCUCUGACUCCAGGCGACUCCAGGGAGAGCCAAGUCGGGCAUGACGUGGGGUACAGAGAUCCCGCCCUGGCUCCUCGGCUCAUAGAUCGGCUUGACGGAGAGCAGACGUGUUCCCACCGCCCACCUGGCGGUUUGCGGCCUCCUAUCCGCUAG